RNAcentral lists this ribosomal RNA (119 nucleotides) under Pteropus alecto (black flying fox). Lineage: Eukaryota; Metazoa; Chordata; Mammalia; Chiroptera; Pteropodidae. The record is from RNAcentral.
CACUACGGCCAUGCCACCCUGAACAAGCCCAAUCCUGUCUGAUCUCAGAAGCUAAGCAGGGUCAGGCCUGGUUAGUACUUGGAUGGGAGACCACCUAGGAAGACCAGGUGCUAUAGGCA